Molecule: long non-coding RNA, 1059 nt
Filed under: Homo sapiens (human)
Lineage: Eukaryota; Metazoa; Chordata; Mammalia; Primates; Hominidae
Description: HSALNT0152696
Source: RNAcentral
ACACACCAAGAGCAGAGCCUUAAAAUGCAUAAACCAAAACCAAUAAAGCUGAAAGAAGAAAUCAACAAAUCCACAAUUGUAAGUUGGACUUCAACACUCUUCUCAGCAAUUGAUAAAACUACUAGACAUAAUUUUAAAAGUUAUAAUAAUCAAAAAAUGGAGUGAAUAAUAUAAAAACAAAUUAAGAGUGUGUUUGAUUAUGAGAAAUGUCAUUUGCAGACUCCUUCCUUUGGCAGACCUUGAUUGGGCAGGUUUGAUGUGCCUGAGCUUAAUGCAGGAUGCACUUGGAUGUGGUCAAGAGCUAGUCUGGACUUUGUGUCUGCAGCUGUGGCCACUUUGCCCUCCUUCAGACUCUGAGGCCACUUUUGCUCUCAGAGGCACACAGAAGAGACAUCGGGCGCAUGGUAAGCACUGCUCAGCAGCCUCAGUGGGGCACCAAGCACAUUAGCAAAAGCAUCUGUCAUGAAUUCCAGGCCUCUGAAAGUCACUGACCACCAUAACCAUCGGCCAGAUGGAUCCCACAACUGGGGAACACAUAGAUGCCACAUAAUUCCCGGCCCUGGACUGUCUCUCUCCAUGAAAUCAGGUGAUAACAGAAAUCCCAGGAGCUUCUGAUCCUCAAGAGCUUUUUCCAAAACUGGUCUGGAAAGUCAUCCAACAUCUGCAGCCAAGCCUGUGCUUCCAGGGCUUUGCAAAACUGUGAGGCCUGCCUGGUCAGUCUGUUUGACGCAAAGCAGGAAUUUCUCUACACUAUGCACCGCAAAGCUUAUUUCUUUCUACAUUACUCCUCCUGCCAUGCAUCAUAAGCCCACUCCCUUCACCAAGCGAAAUGCUGUCUUCUCUGGACGCUCAGUAGCACCCUUCCUAAAAUGCAGCUUUCAGGACUGGACAUGAAAUUCCAGACAUGACACCAGGAAGCAGGCAUUCACGCCACCAUCUCUUUCUCUAUCCAGCCAUUUAAUGCCAUUAUUGCAAACUUUUGGGGUGCCCAAGUCAGGUUGUUAAUAAUACUGAAAUUACUGGUAUCCCAAAACUAAUUUUUUUUUUUUUUGAGAUGGA